Molecule: ribosomal RNA, 261 nt
Filed under: uncultured prokaryote
Description: partial 16S ribosomal RNA
Rfam family: Bacterial small subunit ribosomal RNA
Source: RNAcentral
UACGGAGGAUGCAAGCGUUAUCCGGAUUUAUUGGGUUUAAAGGGUGCGUAGGCGGGACUGUAAGUCAGGGGUGAAAUACUGCAGCUUAACUGUAGCAUUGCCUUUGAAACUGCCGUUCUUGAGUACAGUUGAGGUAGGCGGAAUGUGGUGUGUAGCGGUGAAAUGCAUAGAUAUACCACAGAACGCCGAUUGCGAAGGCAGCUUACUAAGCUGUUACUGACGCUAAGGCACGAAAGCGUGGGGAUCAAACAGGAUUAGAUA